AUGGCCGUGAUCGCGGAAGAGGUCACCUGGACAGGCACGCUUGAGUGCGUUUGCAUUGAACGAAUCUCACGUAGAAUCACCAAGGCUGGUAUGGGAGGACCCCUUGUUAAUUUGGACGGGGAAGUUGUCGGCAUGGACUUCUACGACACGAGGAUCGGAACCCCUAUCGUGAUGUGGGAUCAUGUUCAAUGCAUUCUGGAACAUUUUUGUGAAAAGAGUAAGGCUGGAGAAGUUGGGAGUGACAGUGGUGAGGCUUUCUGGAAAUUGGAUGGGGAUCCCAGCGACAGGCUAAACAGGUGGCCCGUGCCCGCGUCGCGACGACGUGGACGCGGACAAGAAAUCCGAGGAGGAAGAGCUGAACCUCGACCCCCCGCCCCCCAGUGA
This 384-nucleotide ribosomal RNA is filed under the name Triticum aestivum (bread wheat). RNAcentral describes it as "partial small subunit ribosomal RNA". Lineage: Eukaryota; Viridiplantae; Streptophyta; Magnoliopsida; Poales; Poaceae. The record is from RNAcentral.